This 301-nucleotide ribosomal RNA is filed under the name uncultured bacterium. Its description in RNAcentral is "partial 16S ribosomal RNA". It matches the Rfam family "Bacterial small subunit ribosomal RNA", at positions 509 to 807 of the family's 1533-position model. The record is from RNAcentral.
CAGCCGCCGCGGUAAUACGGAGGGAGCUAGCGUUGUUCGGAAUUACUGGGCGUAAAGCGCGCGUAGGCGGUUACUUAAGUCAGAGGUGAAAGCCCGGGGCUCAACCCCGGAACUGCCUUUGAAACUAGGUGACUAGAGUCUUGGAGAGGUCAGUGGAAUUCCGAGUGUAGAGGUGAAAUUCGUAGACAUUCGGAAGAACACCAGUGGCGAAGGCGACUGACUGGACAAGUAUUGACGCUGAGGUGCGAAAGCGUGGGGAGCAAACAGGAUUAGAUACCCGCGUAGUCCCUGUCUCUUAUAC